UACGAAGGGGGCUAGCGUUGCUCGGAAUUACUGGGCGUAAAGGGCGCGUAGGCGGAUCGUUAAGUCAGAGGUGAAAUCCCAGGGCUCAACCCUGGAACUGCCUUUGAUACUGGCGAUCUUGAGUAUGAGUGAGGUAUGUGGAACUCCGAGUGUAGAGGUGAAAUUCGUAGAUAUUCGGAAGAACACCAGUGGCGAAGGCGACAUACUGGCUCAUUACUGACGCUGAGGCGCGAAAGCGUGGGGAGCAAACAGG
Molecule: ribosomal RNA, 253 nt
Filed under: uncultured bacterium
Lineage: Bacteria
Description: partial 16S ribosomal RNA
Rfam family: Bacterial small subunit ribosomal RNA
Source: RNAcentral